CCUACGGGUGGCAGCAGUGCGGAAUAUUGGUCAAUGGACGCAAGUCUGAACCAGCCAUGCCGCGUGCAGGAAGACGGCUCUAUGAGUUGUAAACUGCUUUUAUACGGGAGUAAACGCAGAUACGUGUAUCUGUCUGAAAGUACCGUACGAAUAAGGAUAGGCUAACUCCGUGCCAGCAGCCGCGGUAAUACGGAGGAUUCGAGCGUUAUCCGGAUUUAGUGGGUUUAAAGGGUGCGUAGGCGGGCGGAUAAGUUAGAUGUGAAAUCCCGAGGCUCAACUUCGGAAUUGCUUUUGAUACUGUUCGGCUAGAGAGUAGGUGCGGUAGGCGGAAUGUAUGGUGUAGCGGUGAAAUGCUUAGAGAUCAUGCAGAACACCGAUUGCGAAGGCAGCUUACCAAGCUACUACUGACGUUGAGGCACGAAAGCGUGGGGAGCAAACAGGAUUAGAUACCCGAGUAGUC
RNAcentral lists this ribosomal RNA (460 nucleotides) under uncultured bacterium. RNAcentral describes it as "partial 16S ribosomal RNA". It matches the Rfam family "Bacterial small subunit ribosomal RNA", at positions 338 to 795 of the family's 1533-position model. The record is from RNAcentral.